This 311-nucleotide ribosomal RNA is filed under the name Pseudomonas sp. D(2010). RNAcentral's name for it is "bacterial SSU rRNA". It matches the Rfam family "Bacterial small subunit ribosomal RNA", at positions 208 to 505 of the family's 1533-position model. The record is from RNAcentral. Lineage: Bacteria; Pseudomonadati; Pseudomonadota; Gammaproteobacteria; Pseudomonadales; Pseudomonadaceae.
ACCUUCGGGCCUUGCGCUAUCAGAUGAGCCUAGGUCGGAUUAGCUAGUAGGUGAGGUAAUGGCUCACCUAGGCGACGAUCCGUAACUGGUCUGAGAGGAUGAUCAGUCACACUGGAACUGAGACACGGUCCAGACUCCUACGGGAGGCAGCAGUGGGGAAUAUUGGACAAUGGGCGAAAGCCUGAUCCAGCCAUGCCGCGUGUGUGAAGAAGGUCUUCGGAUUGUAAAGCACUUUAAGUUGGGAGGAAGGGCAGUAAGUUAAUACCUUGCUGUUUUGACGUUACCAACAGAAUAAGCACCGGCUAACUUCG